Trichonephila inaurata madagascariensis is the source of this 75-nucleotide non-coding RNA. Lineage: Eukaryota; Metazoa; Arthropoda; Arachnida; Araneae; Nephilidae. The record is from the annotation of a GenBank genome assembly.
GUCCCCGUAACGCAGUGGAUAUAGCGCGUUGGACUUCUAAUCCAAAGGUCGUGGGUUCGAAUCCCACUUGGGAUG